UACAGAGGGUGCGAGCGUUAAUCGGAAUUACUGGGCGUAAAGGGCGCGUAGGCGGAUCAUUAAGUUAGAUGUGAAAUCCCUGGGCUUAACCUAGGAACUGCAUCUAAUACUGGUAGACUAGAGUGCGGUAGAGGAUAGUGGAAUUUCCGGUGUAGCGGUGAAAUGCGUAGAUAUCGGAAGGAACACCAGUGGCGAAGGCGGCUAUCUGGACUGACACUGACGCUGAGGCGCGAGAGCGUGGGGAGCAAACAGG
This 253-nucleotide ribosomal RNA is filed under the name uncultured bacterium. Its description in RNAcentral is "partial 16S ribosomal RNA". It matches the Rfam family "Bacterial small subunit ribosomal RNA", at positions 524 to 776 of the family's 1533-position model. The record is from RNAcentral.